Nomascus leucogenys (northern white-cheeked gibbon) is the source of this 468-nucleotide long non-coding RNA. RefSeq lists it as uncharacterized. The transcript is spliced from 3 exons. NCBI's taxonomy places the organism in Eukaryota, Metazoa, Chordata, Mammalia, Primates, Hylobatidae. The record is from RefSeq and is a predicted model, not a curated record.
GAAAGGACUCCUGUCAAAUGUUGGAUUCUUAAAGGAUAAGGGCAUGACAAGAGCAAAGACCUUGGGAAAGCUGGUCUGUUGCUGUUUGCAGAAGGUUCUAGAGCAGUGCUUCCAAAACUUGAAUGUGCUCACCAACUUCAAGCCACAAAUCACAGUUCUGCACUGGGGCCUUGGAGUCUGGAUUUCCAGCUAUUCCAUGCUGGGUGUGGAGCAGAGCAUUGUGGCACAUCAACAGUUUGAGUCUCUCUGAUCUUCACUUUGUCCAUGUCCUGGGCGCUUCUCCCUGCCUUGAGCUUCCUUUCCUUAUUUAAAAAUGAAGAUCUGGCUACUUAGAACCUCAGGAUCUCAGAAGGACAGAGGUGGAAGGGUCCUCGGAGCUUCUCUUAAACAUUCUUCAUUGUUCAGUUCCCUCAGCAACUCUGUCAAGCCUGGGCUCCCGAGAACAAACAUUUGGCUGCCUGAUCCCAG